AUGAUGGCCGCUCUACAUUGUCUCCUAUGGUGGCGUCUGUACAUGAUAGUGGUCACUAUACGUCGACUAUACACGCGGCUUUCAUGGGUGAUGGCACCUGCUCUUCGUCGGGGAGUGUUUAUAACUCGAUCACUUCUGUUGUGUCACCGUGUGUCCAUGAGAUUGCUCAACUCUGUUGCCUGCUUGAAGCUUGGGAUUCUACACCGACAUGAUCUGCACAUUUUGUGUGUGACUUUUCUGGCACCGACUGACCACUUUCUCCUCACCCAGGCUUCGAUACGAGCAACAACCUCACAUGUCACCAAAGUGUCCAAACUAAAGCGAAAGUUGGAAGAAAAGCAAGUUGACACGUCGGAGGUUGAGGCCCUCAGGAGCGCGCUAGCCGAGUCCAAGGAGGCGUACGAGGAAUGA
This 411-nucleotide ribosomal RNA is filed under the name Triticum aestivum (bread wheat). RNAcentral describes it as "partial small subunit ribosomal RNA". Lineage: Eukaryota; Viridiplantae; Streptophyta; Magnoliopsida; Poales; Poaceae. The record is from RNAcentral.